GUAUUUUCUGGGCAGAGAAUAACUUGAAACUUAGCUGUUUCACUGAAAAUAGCACUAUGCUUUCUUAGUAGAACUCUGAAUUGCCGUGAUCAUCUUUUCACUUACCUGGUGAGGUGGGGGGGCAAGCCCCGAAGGGGGCUCUCACUUCUGGUGCCAAGCGCCCAACCCACUCCAGGGACAGCGGCAGGUGGGGAGUUUGACUGGGGUGGUACACCUGUCAAAGCGUAACGCAGGUGUCCUAAGGCGAGCUCAGGGAGGACAGAAACCUCCCAUGGAGCAGAAGGGCAAAAGCUAGCUUGAUCCUGAUUUUCAGUAUGAACAUAGACUGUGAAAGCGGGGCCUCAUGAUUCUUCUGGCUUUUUGGGUUUUAAGCAGGAGGUGUCAGAAAAGUUACCACAGGGGUAACUGGCUUGUGGCGGCCAAGCAUUCAUAGCGACGUCACUUUUUGAUCCUUCGAUAUCGGCUCUUCCUAUCAUUGUGAAGCAGAAUUCACCAAGUGUUGGAUUGUUCACUCACUAAUAGGGAAUGUGGGCUGGGUUUAGAUCAUCGUGAGACAGGUUAGUUUUACCCUACUGAUGAUGUAUUGUUGCAAUAGUAAUCCUGCUCAGUACGAGAGGAACUGCACGUUCCGGUGCGGAGCGCUGCGCGUGGUCGGGACUGGAGGGGUGGACAGAAGUGGCGCUGCCUCUCCCCAGUCGCGUACCACACGAUUGUGGGGCACCCAGCGCUAAAUCAUUCGUAGAUGACCUGAUUCUGGGUCAGGGUUUUGUACAUAGCAGAGCAGCUCCCUCACUGCGAUCUAUUGAGAAUCAGCCCUCGACACAAGCUUUU
Molecule: ribosomal RNA, 831 nt
Organism: Chlamydotis undulata (Houbara bustard)
Lineage: Eukaryota; Metazoa; Chordata; Aves; Otidiformes; Otididae
Rfam family: Eukaryotic large subunit ribosomal RNA
Source: Rfam